CUGCUCCCUGCGCACUCUCUGUAAUGAUGCCGGGGCCGGAUCUUCUUCCUUUUCCGGUUCCUGGCAUCAUUAUACAGCAGACAUAGUACUGCCCCUCGCACACUGCCUACAAUGCUCCAUCCUCCUCCAAUAUUCCCCGACUGGUGCCGUCAAAGCUCCCUCGGCAGCCACACUAACUAGAGAGCUUGCAAAUCCCAGGCGCCAGGGUGUAAUUUCUAGUCACCAGGGCGACAUGGCAC
This is a non-coding RNA of Pelobates cultripes (western spadefoot toad), 239 nucleotides long. Lineage: Eukaryota; Metazoa; Chordata; Amphibia; Anura; Pelobatidae. The record is from the annotation of a GenBank genome assembly.